GCGCCAGUAGUCUAGUGGCAGGAUUCGAGCUUCCCAAGCUCGCGACCUGGGUUCAAAUCCCAGCUGGCGCA
This 71-nucleotide transfer RNA is filed under the name Nanobdellota archaeon. RNAcentral's name for it is "tRNA-Gly". It matches the Rfam family "tRNA". Rfam says of the family: Transfer RNA (tRNA) molecules are approximately 80 nucleotides in length. Their secondary structure includes four short double-helical elements and three loops (D, anti-codon, and T loops). Lineage: Archaea; Nanobdellati; Nanobdellota. The record is from RNAcentral.